This 255-nucleotide long non-coding RNA is filed under the name Ananas comosus (pineapple). Its description in RNAcentral is "long non-coding RNA (ACOM_LNC014480)". The record is from RNAcentral. Lineage: Eukaryota; Viridiplantae; Streptophyta; Magnoliopsida; Poales; Bromeliaceae.
AUUUUUUGACACCAACUUUUAUGAAUAUUACAUUUUUUAUAUAAUAAAUUUUAUGAAAUAUUAUACACAAUGUUCUAAAAUUCAAAACUUCUGUAAAUCUAUAUUGUUCUAAUCAAAGAAUUUAAUGAUUUGACUGAUAGUCUCUGGCGUAAAUGAUAAAAAGCUUGAUUGUUAGUAUCUGAAGUUUAGUUGUGGGAGAUUUUUAUUACGUAAAUUUUUUAGAUGCCGGAGAUCAUGUCAUAUCGUAUCUCAUAU